RNAcentral lists this ribosomal RNA (383 nucleotides) under uncultured eukaryote. RNAcentral describes it as "partial 18S ribosomal RNA". It matches the Rfam family "Eukaryotic small subunit ribosomal RNA", at positions 592 to 976 of the family's 1831-position model. The record is from RNAcentral.
CAAUAGCGUAUAUUAAAGUUGUUGCAGUUAAAAAGCUCGUAGUUGGAUUUCUGGUAGGAGUGACCGUUCCGAACUUGAUUGUUCGUGUAUUGUGUUUUCUCCAGCCAUCCUUGUGGAGAACUUUUCUUGCAUUAAUUUGUAGGGAUUGGGACCCGCAUCGUUUACUGUGAAAAAAUUAGAGUGUUUAAAGCAGGCAAUCGCUUGAAUACAUUAGCAUGGAAUAAUAAGAUAGGACUUUGGUACUAUUUUGUCGGUUUGCAUACCAAAUUAAUGAUCAACAGGAACAGUUUGAGAAUAUUCGUAUGAACAUGUCAGAGGUGAAAUUCUUGGAUUUUGAUCAGACGAACUACUGCGAAGGCAUUUAUCAAGGAUGUUUUCAUUAA